UGGGGAAUAUUGCACAAUGGGGGAAACCCUGAUGCAGCGACGCCGCGUGAACGAAGAAGGUAUUCGUAUCGUAAAGUUCUGUCCUAUGGGAAGAUAAUGACAGUACCAUAGAAGAAAGCUCCGGCUAAAUACGUGCCAGCAGCCGCGGUAAUACGUAUGGAGCGAGCGUUGUCCGGAAUUAUUGGGCGUAAAGGGUACGCAGGCGGUUUAAUAAGUCGAAUGUUAAAGAUCGGGGCUCAACCCCGCAAAGCAUUGGAAACUGAUAAACUUGAGUAGUGGAGAGGAAAGUGGAAUUCCUGGUGUAGUGGUGAAAUACGUAGAUAUUAGGAGGGAUACCAGUAGCGAAGGCGACUUUCUGGACACAAACUGACGCUGAGGUACGAAAGCGUGGGGAGCAAACAGG
This 403-nucleotide ribosomal RNA is filed under the name bacterium. Its description in RNAcentral is "partial 16S ribosomal RNA". It matches the Rfam family "Bacterial small subunit ribosomal RNA", at positions 355 to 776 of the family's 1533-position model. The record is from RNAcentral.